RNAcentral lists this ribosomal RNA (912 nucleotides) under uncultured archaeon. Its description in RNAcentral is "bacterial SSU rRNA". It matches the Rfam family "Archaeal small subunit ribosomal RNA", at positions 1 to 922 of the family's 1478-position model. The record is from RNAcentral.
UCUGGUUGAUCCUGCCGGACCUGACUGCUAUCGGAUUGGUACUAAGCCAUGCGAGUCAUUGUAGCAAUACAAGGCGGACGGCUCAGUAACACGUAGUCAACCUAACUCGUGGACGUGGAUAACCUCGGGAAACUGAGAAUAAACCACGAUAGAUCAUAGUGCCUGGAAUGGCUUAUGGUCCAAACAGUUUACUGCCAUGGGAUGGGACUGCGGCCUAUCAGCUUGUUGGUGAGGUAAUGGCCCACCAAGGCGAUUACAGGUACGGGCUCUGAGAGGAGAAGCCCGGAGAUGGGUACUGAGACACGGACCCAGGCCCUAUGGGGCGCAGCAGGCGAGAAACCUUAGCAAUGUGCGAAAGCACGACUGGGUCAGUCCGAGUGAUUCCUGAUAAAGGAGUCUUUUGCUUGUCCUAAAAGCACAGGUGAAUAAGGGGUGGGCAAGUCUGGUGUCAGCCGCCGCGGUAAUACCAGCACCUCGAGUGGUCAGGACGUUUAUUGGGCCUAAAGCAUCCGUAGCCGGCUUUGCAAGUCUUCGGUUAAAUCCACCUGCUCAACAGAUGGGCUGCUGGAGAUACUACAAAGCUAGGGAGUGGGAGAGGCAGACGGUAUUCAGUGGGUAGGGGUAAAAUCCUCUGAUCCAUUGAGGACCACCAGUGGCGAAGGCGGUCUGCCAGAACACGUUCGACGGUGAGGGAUGAAAGCUGGGGGAGCAAACCGGAUUAGAUACCCGGGUAGUCCCAGCUGUAAACGAUGCAAACUCGGUGAUGCAUUGGCUUAUGGCCAAUGCAGUGCCGCAGGGAAGCCGUUAAGUUUGCCGCCUGGGAAGUACGGACGCAAGUCUGAAACUUAAAGGAAUUGGCGGGGGAGCACCACAAGGGGUGAAGCCUGCGGUUCAAUUGGACUCAACGCCGGG